RNAcentral lists this ribosomal RNA (440 nucleotides) under uncultured bacterium. RNAcentral describes it as "bacterial SSU rRNA". It matches the Rfam family "Bacterial small subunit ribosomal RNA", at positions 98 to 534 of the family's 1533-position model. The record is from RNAcentral.
GCGAACGGGUGAGUAAUGCAUCGGAACGUGCCCAGUCGUGGGGGAUAACUGCUCGAAAGAGCAGCUAAUACCGCAUACGACCUGAGGGUGAAAGCGGGGGACCGUAAGGCCUCGCGCGAUUGGAGCGGCCGAUGUCAGAUUAGCUAGUUGGUGGGGUAAAGGCCUACCAAGGCAACGAUCUGUAGUUGGUCUGAGAGGACGACCAGCCACACUGGGACUGAGACACGGCCCAGACUCCUACGGGAGGCAGCAGUGGGGAAUUUUGGACAAUGGGCGCAAGCCUGAUCCAGCAAUGCCGCGUGCAGGAAGAAGGCCUUCGGGUUGUAAACUGCUUUUGUCAGGGAAGAAAUCUUCUGGGCUAAUACCCCGGGAGGAUGACGGUACCUGAAGAAUAAGCACCGGCUAACUACGUGCCAGCAGCCGCGGUAAUACGUAGGGUG